RNAcentral lists this long non-coding RNA (461 nucleotides) under Sinocyclocheilus grahami. RNAcentral describes it as "lncRNA (ENSSGRG00000026798.1)". Lineage: Eukaryota; Metazoa; Chordata; Actinopteri; Cypriniformes; Cyprinidae. The record is from RNAcentral.
GAUGGCAUCAUCCUGCAGGAAGUGGCAUUAUUUUUUAGAGGGAAACAGGCUACUUACUGUGUAAAACACAGAAAAAUUGGAAGUGGUGGCAACAACCGAGGCCAAGUCUCCAUUACAGAAUUCCCCGCUUCCAAUGUAUCCAGGUUUACAUUCACAAGACACCUCUGUAUAAGAAAAAAUGGCUCUCAUUUUUACAUCAAAACUGUUCAGAAGUUCCACAUACAGGUCCGGUGAAAAUGCAUUCUGCGAAAUCGCUACAGCCACCGUUCGCCUCCUCUACACAUCGGUUGAUAGGCGAGCAGACGUGUCCGUCUCCAGAGUAUCCGGCCUGACAGGAACAGUAUUUACCCGUCCACCCCUCUUGACAGAAACAGCUGCCAUCACCGUCCAGGCCGCUAUCACACUUGCCAUUGCUGGUGCAGUUACAUGCUGUGAGAAAAGAUGAAUAAAAUGUUCAUUAU